RNAcentral lists this ribosomal RNA (253 nucleotides) under uncultured bacterium. Its description in RNAcentral is "partial 16S ribosomal RNA". It matches the Rfam family "Bacterial small subunit ribosomal RNA", at positions 524 to 776 of the family's 1533-position model. The record is from RNAcentral.
UACGUAGGUUGCAAGCGUUGUCCGGAUUUACUGGGCGUAAAGCGCGCGCAGGCGGCCUCGGAAGUCGGAUGUGAAAGCUCCUGGCUCAACUGGGAGAGGCCAUCCGAAACUCCGGGGCUUGAAGGUCGGAGAGGGGAGUGGAAUUCCCGGUGUAGCGGUAAAAUGCGUAGAUACCGGGAGGAACACCAGUGGCGAAAGCGGCUCCCUGGCCGACCCUUGACGCUCAGGCGCGAAAGCUAGGGGAGCGACCGGG